Molecule: long non-coding RNA, 605 nt
Organism: Pogonomyrmex barbatus (red harvester ant)
Lineage: Eukaryota; Metazoa; Arthropoda; Insecta; Hymenoptera; Formicidae
Source: RefSeq, a predicted model, not a curated record
AAAGUUAAUAUAUAUUAGUAGAAAUGGGUAUAAAUCGUCGCUGAUACAAGUUACUCUUAAAUCAUCCUCAAUUGUCAUUGACAAUGCUGAUUGUAAAAUAAUCAACAACUGUCAUUGUCAAAUCAUAAAAUAUAAUUGAUGCUGAAGUAACAUCGAUUGAUGACGAACGUUUCGCUAUAAUUUUACAAUGAAAUAUAAUCGUGAUAAAAUCCUCAAUAUCACAUUGCGAGGUUAGUUUGCUCCAGGAAAAGGAUGACAGUGUCAACGACGUACCGAUACCGUAUACCAUUGCGAUUGAUGUUUUGCAGUAUCUUCUCCUCAAGCCGACUAUAAAACGAUUCUCCUGCACUUUGAACAUGGAAAAAGAUCGUAAGAGAUCGUCAUCGAAGAAACGAAUCGGAAAGUUUUCCUGCCAUAUCUUUCAAAUGAUACUAUUACACGUGGCUACUUAAAACUAGAAAAAAAGGAGUUCAUUCGACUAGAAAAGAUUUCGAAAUGUCAUCUACGUGAUAUCUACGAGAAUAUCUUAAAAUUUGCAAAUGAUGGCAAUUAAGAUCCAGUUAGUAUAACUUGUUUUAUGAAGAAAAAUAAAACAGCAAAAAUAU